UAAAGAACAUAUUGAAGAUUUUCGGUUUAUCAUAUACAUACAAAGUUUACCUUUUUAUAUUUUUAUCUAUUUUUUCUUCCCCGAUCCAAGAGAGAUCCAAAUAUUAUUGGGAAAUCUCACAUUUGUCAGGUGAUCUCUCUUCAUUUAUUUACUUGAAUGUCAUUUAUUGUUAUUUAUUAUUCUUUUUCUUAUUUCUAAGUCAUUCUUUACUCCAUUACUGAUAGUAUUAUUUAUUGCUACCGAUCAUUGAUGCUUGACAUAUUUUUCAGAAAUAUAUUUGUAUCAUUUGAAUAUUAUAUUGACUAAUAUUGAUUUUUUUUUACUAUAAAUAUAACUGUAUAAUUUAGAUCGAAAUUUUGAGUCAUAUAGUUAGAUCAAAGGGGGGAAAUGUCUGUCGUACAUUCUUAAGAAACAUCAGAAAAUUUUGCAAAGAAUAUUCAAGAUUUAAUAUAUAUAUAUAUUGAUAUGAGUGAUUUGUGAGGUAUCACGAGAGGCUGGUACAGUUUCUGAGAUAUUGCCCGAGGGGCAAACUUUGACGUGCUCAUUUUGCAUACUUACUUGUCUUUCACUUAUUAUAUUGUGGUACUUGUGCCUGAGGGGCAGAUUUUCUAUGUGUACCGGCACUAACUGUUUUUGAAAUUAUUUUGUAACUGUUGAAAAGACCAUUUUCAAAAGAAGUUCAAACUAAGCUAAGAGAAUUUCUAAAGAUUUCACAGUUUUUACUAUUUUCUCAAAGGAUUGUACACUGCUUCUAUGCACAUGUUGGUUGCUUUACGUAAUUUCUUCUGCUCAGUUAUUAUUUACCUUUAUUACUCACUAAGUUGGAGUACUCACUUUACUUCAUGCACCUCGUGUGCAGAUGCAGGUAUGUAUUUACCCGGUAGCGGGUAUUGGCUGUUUGGAGGCAGAGGUGUAGGAGUUUAGCAGAUCCCUUCUNNNNNNNNNNNNNNNNNNNNNNNNNUAUAUAUAUAUAUAUAUAUAUAUAUAUAUAUAAAACUAACUUUUGAAUUGAAUACAUGAUAUAAAGUUUUGUUUUAAAUGUUCAAUUGGAUAUCCUUCAUUCAAUGUGGCUAGGCUACAACUUACCGAUAUUUAAUUUUGAAGUACUCAUAAUGUGAUUUUUUUUAUAUAUUAAGAAUUACAAAAUAAUGUAUUUGAUUGGUAAUGUAAAAAAGGGAACAUAAUUAUAACUUUAUAGACUAUAUAUAUUAUAGGUGUCGAACGGGUUGGGUUGAUCCGGGACCGGCCCGGCUCGAUACUUAGGGGGCCGAGUAGGCUAGGUUACUGAGAUUAGGGGGUUGGUCCAUUCACUUUAAUUCCUCCGGUUAACCGGAUCGGUCAACCAAAAUUCAUGUAGAACCGUUUAACCGGCUCGGCCCAGGCCGAUUUAAAGGCUAGAUUUUUUUUUUAAAGCUUUGAGGGUCUAAGGCAGCAAAACCUUUGAAUUAACUUUUUUCGUUAAUUUACUUGUUAAAUGUAAACCUUUCAAUUUGUAAGUUUGAAUUUUGAAAUAAAUGUAACACUUGUAAUUUAUAAGUACAAUUUUUUCCCAUCUUCAUUGUAUUCUUUAUCUUAAUAUAACUUAAAUAGUCAAUUUAAAGUGCAAUUUUUUUCCCGUCGUCAUUGUAUUCUUUUUAUUUUUACUUUAUACUAAUAUAGAUUACAAUUGUUAUAUAAAAUACAAAUAAUAAUAAUAAUAAUAAUAUACUAACCCGGCCAGGUCCGACCCCUUGUACCCGUAACCUUUACGAUUUAUUUUUUACCCGGAUGAACCCGAACCCGUUAGCCCGUUAACCUCUAGCCCGUAACUGGUCCGGUUCGAAAUCCGGAUAAUUUCAACUUUUCCUUACCUAGCCCAGUCCGGCCCACCCAUUAGACACCCUUAAUAUAUAUUGUGAAAUUUUUUAUUUUGUCAAUCCAUAAAUCCUUAUUACAUAGAUACUAUGCUAGAAUUGUUAUCCGAUAAACUACUUCGUCACCAAAUAAAAGUUAUCGUAUAGCGGAGUUAUAUUUAAUGAGGUAAAAAACAAUUUAUCAAAUUAUUCAUGAAUUUUUCAGUAAUAAAUCGUAAGUUCAAUUACCAUAACUAGUAAACUUUAUUGAGGCUAACGUGGUAUAGUGAUCCAUUUAAUAUUUUUUUAUUUAUCAAUAUUGCAUGCUUAUUAAGACUUCAGGUGAAUUCUGAGGAACAUUGUUAGAGUUCAAUGAUUCUAUACUUGGCGCGCAACUUUUGGAAAAGCUGAAAGAUUCUUCUCUAGUGAUACCAAAUUUGAUAAGAAAUUCAAGUUUGUUUUCACUUAAUAAAAAACAUUAAUUUGAUAAGGUUUUUUCGCAUACAAACGGGGGACAUGACCUGAGGCUUGCGUAUUUAGCUGUAUAAAAGUAAGAAUUAACAAAGUAUGACGGUAAAUUUGAAGCAAAUGCGGCUUAGUAAAAAUAAUGCUCUAAAGCCAGAUUCCAAUAAGUAAAUUUUAAUUUUAAUAAAAUUUAGCUGAAUUUAGAGGGGCGGAAUGGAUUCAUCUUAACCCUUUCACCGAAAAAUCAUACUGUAUAUAUGAAGUAUAAUUUUUUAUUUUUUAUUUUUAUAUAUUAUAUUUAAACAUUUUUGAUAGAACCUAAAAGCAUAGGUUAGUGGUCAAGAAAAUUUAAUACAUUUGUGGUCACUUGUUUAAUUUUCACUAACCAUAAUUUUUUUUAAUUUUUAUCUUUUUUCUUUCUUGAUUUUCCUUAUAAAAAUCCUGCCUCCGCCAUUAAUCAUCAUCAUACUAUAUUAAAAGUUGAAAUUGAGUUACUAAAUCAUUAUCCAUCAAAAGCUAAAAGGCCAUUUGAUCGUUCCUUUAAAUACUACUCUUAUACAAGUUUUGUAUCAAAAACUAAAUAUCCAUUUCAAUAAAUGAUAAUAUCUACUAUAAAAGUAAAUUAAACUAUUUGCCGUGGAGGUCAAUUAUAUCUUCUUAUAUCUAAAAAGAUGGGGUUUCCCUUUUUCGUACUUAUUUGUUUACUAUUGUGGCUUAGUUAUUAUUCUUGUAUUUCUUACCCUUAGAUUUCUAUUAUUAAAUGUUGUUUCUCUUAUUUUAUUGCUGAUACUGCUUCUCUUUCAUGGUAUUUUUCGCUAUUGUAUUCUUUAAAGCUAUUAUGAUGGUUGUUUAGCUCAAAAGUUAUUGAUAUAUUUUGUAAGCUUUAGAAAAUAAUUAAAAAAUAAAUAAGGGUAAAUCGUAAUCAAAUAUAAUCUGACCUAAAAAUUAGAUACUGGAUAUUUGCCGUUCUAGAUCUCAAAGAAAGAGAAAAUAAACUUAACUUAAGAGAGAAGCAAUAGUUGGAGACAGAGAAAGAGAUAGAGAUAGAGAGAGAAGUUGUAUUAUUCGAUUGUAAUAAUAAUGAUGCAUGUUACAAUGUAGAGGUCUCCUUUAUAUAUAUGAGACCUCCCUCAAAAUAAUCAAAAAAGUACAAAAGUUGGUGGCUUCACUUAGUAAAGAAUUUAAGCUCUAAACGACGUUGCUUUUGCCAGGUCGCUCCCUUACUUGGGUCGAGUCUGCUUAUUGGGUGUACCCAUUAAUCAUGGGGCAUUGACGGCCAAAUUUGACCUCAUACAGUUAGUCCCUCCGUUCGUUGGAAACGUGCUCGAUGGACGCCUUCAAUAGACGGAUUCACAAGGCCCUUCCUAAGAGAAUUUGGUCGUAUCAUUGGUCUUUAACACGAAGUAAUGAAACAAAAACGCACGACACAGUUGAACCGUUGACGCAUGGUCUCUUUUUGGAAUGACAUCAUUAGUCGCAUGCGUCAUUAUUACUUUUUUCCCGAGGUAGCUCAGUUGGUGAUGUGAGUUUCUGGUUUCCCGCGCCUGUUCUGACCGUACCUUUUCGAUUUCCGCAUAAAUUUAUCCCAUAAAUAGGAGAAAAGUUCAAAUUGAUUCAUCUUUCGAACCUUUGAGAAUACUUUCUUAUUCCCUUUUCUGUCUUACUUUCUUGUACUCAACAUCUCGUGUGAGAUCUUUCUUGUCUCUAUGUGACUUUAUUAUACGUUACCAAUAUUUAAAAAUUGGUUCCUAUGGCGAAACGCCAAAGCAGUAAGAAAAGCAAGGGUACCACCCAAUCUAGGGUUUCGUACUCAAUGUCUCGUUUGAGAUCUUUCCUAUUUCUGUAUGGUUGUAUUAUCCGUUACCAGUAUCUAAAAACUGGUUCCUAUGGCAAAACGCCAAAGUAGUAAGAAAAGCAAGGGUACCGCCCCAUCUAGGGUUCCGCCUUCCUCCGGUGGUGAAGAGGAAGGCCCGGGUUCUGCACAUUCUAUGAAUACCCGCUUCGAAUUGGAUACAGCCUCCCGUUUAACCCUUUAGCGGAGGACCUCUGCCGCUUCUUCAGAGCAUGCCCGGCUCAGCUCACGCCUUAUACUUUGAAGGUGUGUAGAACUCUCACCACGUAUGCGGCCAAAUCCGAGAGCUUGGUUUUGGUUCACCAUCUUUUGCAGAUGUUUAAUGCAAGCUUCUUGAGGGGUAUCUAACUCUAUUUGAAGCGUCGUGGUACAAAGAGUUUCAUAUUGAAGUCCGAUGAUUAAUCCAAUCAUGGCUUAUGGAAAAGAUACUUCUACAUUAGGACGGAGCAGAGGUUAUCUAAUCCUGAAGGGUUCCCAGAGGCGUGGAACUCGGAAUGUAAGUACCAUUGUGUGUGAUUUCAUGAUUAUUUUUCCCCAGAUGGUUCAGCCAUUGUGAAUUCUUUGUCUUUGUUUUGUAGUGGCGGCUCGCUCGCCCCGAACUAUUGGUGACAUCAGGUCCUGGGUGUAGAGAUUGAUACCGUAUGCGGAGGAGUGCCAGACCUGGGCCGAGUUCCAUAAACUGUACGGCCCAGCAGGCAAUAAUAAUCUUUGGCUUUGGCUUGAAGUUUCCUUUAGUUCUUGUUAUCUAACAUUCUCGCACUGGUAGGUCGGAAUGUUUCUAAAUAGAAGAAGAAGAUCGUCGAUGUCCCGUCUAGAUGGAGGUCGAUUCCGAUGACGAGGUCGUAUCACGCGACUCACCUAGUGAUAGCGCUCCUUUGAGUUCUCAGCAAGGGGCUGCACAGGUGGUGGCAUCUGAGUCGGCACCUGAAGCUAUGCAAGUGAUGACAUCUGAGGUCGUGCCCGAGGUCGUGCCAGUAACGACACAUGAGGCCGUGCUUGUGAUGGUGCCUGAGGCCACUCCAGUGGAGGCGACUUCUGAAGGCGAAGAGCUGCCGGAGACAAAGGGGCAUCGAUUGAUUACCGGCAAGGGAAUUGCGACUGAGGACGUGAGGCCUACUGAUCCCGCCGAGAGCCGAGGCCCUCGUACAGGAAUAUUAACCCCUCGGAGACUAACCGUUGUUGUUAGCUCAGCUCAUUCCCAGAAGGCGGGUCGUCCUCUGUAGUUGGGUGUGCGGGGGUAGAAAUUGAGAGGACGGGCUCGGAGGCCGCUCUUGGAGAAGCAACAAGGUAUUCAGCCCGCAUGGAGAUGAGGUCGAGCAGGUCUACUAGUCGAAUUAUGAUCCCUGGCGGGUAUAACUUGUUAGAAAACAACGAGCAAGCCGCAGCGAACAUGACCUUGUUAUGUGCGGCUGCGGAGCAUGAGACGCUAAAAGGUGUUAGUAACAGGGAUUUGUCGAGGAGAGUUGCCGGUGUAGCUUUGCAGGUAGCUUUCAGUUUUUCUUUUAUGAGCCGUAAAGGAGACUUUGGUACAUACAGACUUGUAUUUCCUCUAUUCUUUUCAGACCCUAAUCUUGGAGGUGGAGAGGAGGAGGCAUGAAGAAAGAAAGGCGGUCACCUUCAAUAAAAUGGCGAAGAAGUACAAGGAGUGUCGUGCCAAGCAUCAGGCAUUGGCAAAUGUACUCAAGCAAGACCCUUAGUUUCGGGUGUUCUGUGAGGGUCUUGAAGAAUCGAAAGCUCUAUUGAAGAGGAGGGUGGCCGGGCUGGACGAGCAGUUGAUGGCUACUUUGUCUCGAAACAUCGAGCUGGAGACUCUCCUUCAGUAAAAAGAGGAGGAACUGGAGAUAAGCCGUGGGGUAGCGGCGGAGGCGGCUCAGUUGCGAGCCUAAGUCAUUGCUUUAACUACUGAGCUCGGCGCUAAGGUGGCUGAAGUUGAGACCCAUGAGCGGUCUUCCUAAUCAAAGCUCGAAAAGGGCGCACAUCGUGAGACGCGCGAAAUGUGGACGUAUGCCGAGGCUAGACUAGUCGUGCUCGAGGAAUUUUUCUCUGCAGGUCGAGCCACUAAGGCGGAGGUUGAGAAGCAAAAGCGUUUAGCCCGCGCCGCCCGCGCCGCUUGUGGUUAUAAUUCUGAUUUACCCGAUAUGCUGUAACUCUGAAUACGUCAAUCGUCUAGAGUCCGACUCUUGGAUUUCUAGAGCUUACCCUCCUGGGGGCGAUGACGAACCAAAUGGCAGGCAAACAGGGCAUGGUGGACGAAGCGGCAAUGGCUCUUAGGGCUUGUGUAUAUAUGUAUAUUUCUUGUAUGUAACCGAGGCCCUUUUCAGGGUCGGAUGUACAUGUAUAUUUUCUGGAGAUAAUGGAGUAUAAUUUUCUGCUACUUUUUCCUUUGCUUUCUUGUUUUCUUUUUUGUGUCUCGUCUCUGUAGAGCGGACACUCGUUUACUUGUUGGGAUUUUAUUGUGUUUUUGCUUCACGUUCACAUGAUUAAUGCUGCAAUUGAACUAGUCCUAAGCCGUGAUAAAGUCGAUGGCCUUGGCCAGAGUUAAGUUGAUGACUUUUUGUCAUAACUUGUUGAUGGCCUUAGCCAUAUGAUGAUUUCGACUGUAGUCGAAUAAUUUUCUUGCCGUAGUCGAACUAGAUCGAUUGUUGGCGAUGAUGGCCUUAGCCAUGAUGAAGUCGAUGGCCUUGGCCAGAGUUAAGUUGAUGACCUUUGGUCAUGACUUGUUGAUGUCCAUGGCCAUAUGGUUGAUUUCGACUGUCGUCGAAUCAUUUUCUAGCCGUAGUCGAACUAGGUCGACUGUUGGCGGUGAGGGUCUUAGCCAGGAUGAAGUCGAUGGCCUUGGCCAGGGUAAAGUAGAUAACCUUUGGUCCCAACUUGCCGAUGGAUUUGGCCAUAUGGUUUAUUUCGACUAUCGUCGAAUCAUUUGCUUGUCGUAGUUGAACUAGGUCUACUGUUGGCGGCAAUGGCCUUAGCCAUGAUGAAGUCGAUGGCCUUGGACUGAGUUAAGUUGGUAACCUUUGGUCAUGACUUGUUGAUAGCCUUGGCCAGAUGGUUGAUUUCGAUUCUCGUCGAAUCAUUUGCUAGCCGUGGUCGAACUAGGUCAACUAUUGGCGGCAAUGGCCUUAGCCAUGAUGAAGUCUAUGGCCUUGGCCAGAGUAAAGUUGAUGACCUUUGGUUACAACUUGUUGAUGGCUUUGUCCAUAUGGUUGAUUUCGACUGUCGUCGAAUUAUUUUCUUGUCAUAGUCGAACUAGGUUGACUGUUGGCGGCAAUGGCCUUAGCCAUGAUGAAUUCGAUGGCCUUGGCCAUGAUGAAGUUUAUGACCUUUGGUCAGAACUUGUUGAUGGCUUUGGCCAUAUGGUUGAUUUCGACUGUCGUCGAAUCAUUUGCUUGCCGUAGUCGAACUAGGUCAACUGUUGGCAGAGAUGGCCUUAGCCACGAUGAAUUCGAUGGCCGUAGCCAUUUAUACAUUGGAGAUAGCCGUACCCGUUUAUACAUUAGAGAUGGUCGUAGCCGCUCAUACAUUGGAGAUGGUUGUAGCCGUUCAUACAUUGGAGAUGAACGUAGCCAUUCAUAUAUUGGAGAUGGCCGUGGCCAUUCAUAUAUUGGAGAUGGUCGUAGCCGUUUAUACAUUGGAGAUAGCCGUAGCCGUUUAUACAUUAGAGAUCAUGCUAGUCCUGUCCCUUUAUCAUGUCGGCCUGGAGAAUGUAUGGACAGGUUGAUAUGAUAAACUUGUUCCACAAAUAUCUCCAGGUGUCCCCUCGGCCGCCUCGUUAAAAACCUCAUCGAGAAAACCCAAUUAGGACAAAACUCGAGUAUGGGAAAAAGAGUACGACUCGGAAGACGCCUUUCACAAAUGGAAAUAUUUGAGGUGGGCGACAUUCCAAUUAUUUUGUAGUGUUUUCCCUUCCAUUGUUCCCAACUGGAAUGCUCCUUUGUUGGCUGCUGAUAUGAUUUUGUAGGGUCCGUCCCAAUUACUGCCCAAUUUUCCUUUGCUUGGGUCUUUGGACACCAAUGUCUUGGCUUUGAGGACAUAGUCUCCCACUUUGAGUGGUCUUAUCUUGGACCUCUUGUUGUAGUAUCUUCGACCUGUUAUUUUUGGGCCACCAUUCUGAUUUGGGUCAUCUCUCUCCUUUCCUCCGCUUCGUCGAGGUCUUGGAUCAUGUUCAUGUCAUUUUCUGUUCCGCUGGUGGUAGGAGUACCUCAAGCUUGGUUCUACCUAUUGUUAUUGGGCCACCAUUUUGAUGUGGUCCAUUUCUCUCCUUUCCUCAGCUUCGUCGAGGUCUUGAUCCUGUUCAUGUCAUUUUCUAUUCCCCUGGUGUGUGAGUACCUCAAGCUUGGUUCACCGACUUCGGCUGGUAUGACCGCGUCGGUUUUGUAGACCAGUUAGUACGGUGUUUCCGUUAUGCUGGAUUUGGGUGUGGUCUGAUGGGCCCAUAAUACUUCUGGCAGUAGCUCGGGCCAUUGCCCUUUGGCUUCCUCAAGUUUCCUUUUUAGUAUAUUUAAUAUUGUCCUGAUUGGAGGAUUCUUCCUGGCCAUUGGCGGCGGGAUGGUAUGGCAUUGAGAGUAUUCGCUUGAUAUGCCACUUUUCGAAGAAAACUGUCAUUUUUUGACCGACGAAUUAUCGUCUGUUGUCACAGCUGAUUUCCUUGGGGAUGCCGAAGCGGCACAUGAUAUUUUUCCAUAUAAGGGUGAUGACCUCCUGUUCGCGUAUUUGGGCGUACGUACCUGCUUCCACCCACUUGGAGAAAUAAUCAGUUAAAACUAGUAGAAAUCGUACCUUUCCUCGCCCCGCGGGGAGGGGCCCGACUAUGUCCAUUCCCCAUUUGAUGAAUGGCCAUGGGGAUGUGACCGAGUGGAGAGAUUCUCCUAGUUAGUGUAUCAUGGGUGCAUAUUUUUGGAACUGUUCGCACCAGCGAACGUAUUCCGCUGCUUCCUUCUUCAUGGUAGGCUAGUAAUAGCCAGCCCGUAUGAGCCAUCGCACUGUUGAUACCCAAUUUUUCCCUAUGUGUUUUUGUACCCAAAAUAGCUUGUGAAUGCAUAUAUAAGCAUCCACAAAAGGUUUGGUAUUUUUUUACAAUUUUUUCAAGCAUUUUCAAACCAAUUUACAACUUAUUUUGUGAUAUGAAAUCCAAUAUUUAACCUCAACUCUUGUUAUUUAAUAAAUACUUUAUUUUAAUUCCUCAUUUACAUAAAAAAUAUAAUUUAUGUAAUUUUUACAGGAUUUUGUAAAGCCAUUAGAAAUUUUAAAACUAAAAUUGCAUUAAAUUGUAAUUUUAGCCUAUUUCUCAAUUUGAUAAGUAUUUCAUGUGCAAAAUCAUUCCUGAUAUUUUUAAAUAAUUCCUAAACGUAUUUUAUUAUCUCACCAAUUUUAUUGGAUUUUUAUAAAAAUGUUUACUAUUUUUUAUAAAAUUAAAUUAGGGAAAAUGGUUAUUUAAAUGAUAGCGCCUUUACUUUUCAAUUUUAACCCCAAUUCAAACCCAAUCCAGCCCAAUUUAAAACCCAAUUUGCCUGACACAAAUUCAAGUACACCCGACCCAAACCCGCUGAACUUAACCCACCUGUUCCCCCUAUCUAAUCCGGGUCGUUGAUCUCAUAGAUCAACGGCCCAAAAUUGACUUGCCUAAUUAAAUCCCCAAAACCCCCUUAGCUCUAAUCAUUCACUCAAGUCCGCCUUUCACUCCCAAAUUCUCUCUAGGUUCUCUAAAAACCCUAGUCGCCUCACGCCUCUUCGCCGGCGUUAAUGGCCGUUCAAGGCUUGAAACUGCCAUGCUCAUCCACUCAUCACCUGUCAUGGCCUUCGGUUCGAAGAUCGGGAUAUUAUCACGGGUGUGACUGAAGAGGUCCUUAAUGGAGUUUCACAACUGUGUCAGGCCUUUCUCCGGCAAGUCUUUGAAGCCUUGGGUCCUUGCCAAGCUCCGAUGAGCCCGUUCAGGCUUUUCUCGCCGUUUUGAGGCCUUUCUAUGAAAACCCUAAUGAUUCGAGGUUCCUUUUUCAUUUUUUCUGUGUUUAUAUUGCAAUCUUCUUUAAGCUCUAGUUAUUUUCUACAAGUUUAAGUGUUUCUCAUCUCUUUCUUCACCUAGUCGUGUUUUCAAAAACUGUUCGUCUCUUCCAAAACCUAGGGUUUCUAUGACCUAACUGAUUCUUUGAAUUUUUUUUUUUUUUGCUACUGUGUGUUCUUCUCCAUGAUUUUGACAUUUUUCUACUACGAUUCUCAAGUAUCUGGCUUGACUGUAUAUUUCUAGGGUUUUCAGUCCAUGUGCUUAUGUUUCUCUUUAUGAUGUUCUGCUCUUAUUCACCUGUGCUCCGAUAUGCAGUGGAAACCCUAACCUAGAAGGGUUUCUUUCUAUAUUUCUAUGUGUAACCCUAGCCGCCUAAUUGCUUUCUUGUGUGUGUUUUGCUGCAUGUUUACUUUACUAUUUUUAGUCUCCCGUAUGUUCAAAACUUGUGCAUCUUUUAUAGUACUGUUUUUCCCCCUUUCCCUGGCACUCUAAAUUGAUUUUUUGUACAACUGUUAGAUUCUCUAAUUGCUCCUUGUUUCUUGACUAAGUUCAAACGAGUAGAAUUUUGACUCCUUGAUUUCCUGGGUGAUUACUUGCCUUACAUGUUCAACCGUGUGAUUUUCAAAAUNNNNNNNNNNNNNNNNNNNNNNNNNNNNNNNNNNNNNNNNNNNNNNNNNNNNNNNGUGAUUUUCAAAAUUUCUUAUAUGUAUUUACCCUAUAUUCUGUGAUUAAUACUAUAUUUUCUUUCCAAAUUUAAACCUAGGUUUAUUUAUUUUUCCAUCCAGUUCCUUAAUUGAAGGGGUUCCCUUCUCCUUAAUUGAUAUUGAUUGAUUGGGGAAUAUUUCCCCUUGCCUAUUGCUGCAUCUUUUCAAAACUAUAAAUAGGCUCUCUCUUUUUCACACAGCACACACUCAUACAGGAGUUCUCUCUACUCUUACUCACUAAAAUUCUCUGCUCUUCUCUUCUCUAUUAUUUGCUCUCUCCGCUAAAAGUUAGCCGGCUGAAGCCAAGGCUAAUUAUAAGAUUUCUCUUUGCUUUGUUACUCAAAGUGUGCAACUGGUAGGUCCUAAUUUCGAUUACCAACUUUCAACCACCUGUUUACUUUCACUCUGCUCUUUACCUGUUAUACUUUCGGUUCAAAUUCUGCGUGUCUAAUCCCUUUCCCUAUUCCUUUGCAUGUUAUGUUAAUUGUGAGCACGCGAUUUUUUCCCUAAGCAAACUAUUCCCAAAAAUUAAACAAAACGAUUUUUUUCUUUAUAUUUACAAGUUUUGUGUCCUUGUUUGAUAAUUAUUGCAUUUUAUUUGUGCAUGUGAAUUCAUACAAAAUACAAAAAAUACGCAUUUGCAUUUAGGAAUUAAGGUCAUAUUUUAGUAUUAAUUAGAAGUUAAUUUGUUUUAGCAUAAAACAUGAAAAAUCAAAAAUUAGUUCAUUUUGCAUUUUAAUCAUUUUUAUUUAUAAAUUGUCACAAAUUAAUUUUUUUUGUAAUAAUUAUAGGAAUUAUGUAGUUAGUUUACAUAUAUUAGAGUCUAGUUUAGUUGCAAUUUUAUAAAAUUAGAAAUUAAUAUAAUUAAAUAAAAAAAAGAGAUGGAUAAAAGAAAUAAUUGAAAAGAAUGCAAAAAAGGAAUAAAGCUGUUAGUUUUUAGGCCGUUGUAAAUUAAUUGAGCCUAAUUUAAUUGAUCCCAACCCGUCAAACCCGGCCCCAGUAGCCCAAGAACCGGUCCAAUUAGGUGCCUUAGUAAACGACGUCGUUCCCAGUCUUUCAAUCCUGGCCGUUUAUCUUGAUCCAUCCAACGACCAGGAACUUCCCCCUCUUUGACAUUAAUAUGUCCGAAAAUAAUGAGAGAGCAUUCAGUUCCAAAUACUCCUUCAUCUCCGUUUCUCUCUCAAGAAAAGGUCAACCCUAGUUCGCCAUUUCCGGCCAACGAGAAGGCUCCAGCCACCAUCAAAGUUCAACCAAGCCACCGUCGUUCACCCCCAAGUCAAAACCAACCUCUAGUUCUCAUCAAAUCCACACCAAGUCGGGCCAGUUCUAAUCAGAAGUUGAAGGGAAGAAGUCUCUCAGUGCAUUCGACUUCUUAGGAAACGAUUAGGCCUGAAAUUGAUAUUAUUUGUUAGUUUUCAAGAAGAACCUGCGACCAAUAUCAAUCUCGGGUCGAAUCGAAGAUAUCGGAGCUUUUAUUCGAAAGCUGAAUUUAGUAAGUGCUUCUUUCUUUAGUUUUUAAUUUGUUUCAUCGUUUGCUUAGUUCAAUCGAGCAUAAAUUAAAGUUGUGUUCAUCUUUGUGAUUGUUAAAAUCGAUAAGUUAAGUUGUCUUAAGCCAGUUCUUAGUCUUUUGUUUAAAUUAUGGUUUAUUUUCGAUUCGUUGUUAGUUUUGUCUCUCAAUCAUUAAUUAGUCGUUAGCUUAAUUAAUCUUCUCGUUUGUCUCAAUAAGAUACUGAUUUUGACUUUGUUUUGAUUUUGGCUGUUUGUUCUUCUGGAUUGAAUUUGGGUAGUUUGUUUUGUUUGUGAGAUUGGUUAUAGAUGAUUAGAUAACCAUAGUUUAGAUAGACUGGGGUAAUGGCUUGUUGUGGUUAAGGGAGUGUUAGUAAUUGCAAGGCUGUCUAGGGGUGUUUUGGUAAUUGGAGGAAGGGAAUAUUUUCUGUUGUAGAAGAUACGGCUGGAAUGGCAUGUGAGGGUGCAGAUAUUUUGAGGGUAAGGGUAGUUUGGGGUUUGUCUUGUUCAAAGAGUGCCCUAGGAUAUUCUAUAAUAUGGUUUUAAUGUAAAUUUCAGCUAACUUAAGACACUAGAUGGAAUUACAUGUGAGUGUGCAGAUAUUUUGAGGGAAAGGGUAGUUUGGGGUUUGUCUUGUUCAAAGAGUGCCUUAGGAUCUUCUAGAAUAGGGUUUUAGUGUAAAUUUCAGCUAACUUAAGACACUAGCUUGGGUAGUAAGUCAAUGAAUAAAGGGUUUAAAGCAAAAUAGUGAUGGACUAAAGAAAAAAAAAAGUCAAAAAUCUGAUCCUUUAUCCACUAGUGCCUAUAUAUUGGAAUUUUCAUGCUUGGGAAGGGGUCCUUCUGGAGCAUUUUUCCUCAGCCAUCUUAUUAUACAAUUAACUCCUAAAUACUCUCUCUACUUCAGUUAUUUUAAUUUUUGAAUUCCAGAAAACCAAAACAAAAACACAAAAAAAAACUCAAAAACAAAGCAUAAAAAGGAAAAUAUAGUAUGAAGAUCUGAUAAAAUAGCUGAGAAAUGCACUUUUUUCCCAUUAAAAUAGCUACGGGUACUGUUUCAUUGACCAUCAUAUGCUGAUUCUGUCGAAAUUCAAUCUGUCAAGACCAUCUUAGUUUCAAUAAGGGUGAUAAUGGUUUGAAUUUGUUUUUCCUUUUGAAAUCUAGGUUGAGUUUUGAGUCAGGGGGUUGUUUCAUCAGUUUUUAGUUGAUAUUGAGGUUUAUUUGGUUGAAUCUGAAACCUGGUUUGUUGCUGUUGAGUUUAGUGCUAUUGAUUUGCUGCUGGGUAUUUGUUGCUGCAUAGAUUUGUACUCCUGCUCCUUUAACUGCUGUUGAUCACCUUUUUCCACUUUGAAUUCCAUUUUCAGGUACACAACUUGUAACAUUCUGAUGUAGAUCCAAGCUUGAAUACUAAAUACAUGAAUGAUACUUGAAAUUGCAACCUCUGUUCAUUUAAAGUAUUUAGUGAUUUAGUUCGUUUAGAUUUUGUAUGAAUAGACUUGGACUACACUAAGAUUGUUGGAACUUGUUUAGAUUAUCUGAUUGUUGUUUAGUUGAAUCAUGAUACUAUCAUUUUAUUGAAAUUUGACUGUCAAUGGGUUUAGAUUAGUUAGACUGCUUGAAUCAAUUUGGGUAGUGAAAUAAUUCUUAAUAGCCAUGAAAACUGGACUGGAAAUCGAGUUGAAUUUGACGGGUUUUCAUUCAUGAGUUAAUUUAAGUUCGUGAGUGUUUAAAAUUUAGGUUCAAUAAUUGGUUGUUCAAAUCAGUGAUCUAUUGGAAAUUGGUAAUUCCAGUUUUUGUUGGGAAGUCUGUGAGUGUUUAAAAUUUAGGUUCAAUAGGUGGUUGUUCAAAUCAGUGAUCUAUUGUUCUAUUGGAAAUUG
RNAcentral lists this long non-coding RNA (14231 nucleotides) under Nicotiana benthamiana. Its description in RNAcentral is "long non-coding RNA (NBEN_LNC015761)". The record is from RNAcentral. Lineage: Eukaryota; Viridiplantae; Streptophyta; Magnoliopsida; Solanales; Solanaceae.